UACGGGAGGGGCAAGCGUUGUUCGGAAUUACUGGGCGUAAAGGGCCAGUAGGCGGCCAACUAAGUCCGACGUGAAAUCCCAAGGCUUAACCUUGGAACUGCGUCGGAUACUGGAUGGCUUGAAUUCGGGAGAGGGAUGCAGAAUUCCAGGUGUAGCGGUGAAAUGCGUAGAUAUCUGGAGGAAUACCGGUGGCGAAGGCGGCAUCCUGGACCGACAUUGACGCUGAUGAGCGAAAGCUAGGGGAGCAAACGGG
RNAcentral lists this ribosomal RNA (253 nucleotides) under uncultured bacterium. RNAcentral's name for it is "partial 16S ribosomal RNA". It matches the Rfam family "Bacterial small subunit ribosomal RNA", at positions 524 to 776 of the family's 1533-position model. The record is from RNAcentral.